Molecule: ribosomal RNA, 468 nt
Filed under: uncultured bacterium
Lineage: Bacteria
Description: partial 16S ribosomal RNA
Rfam family: Bacterial small subunit ribosomal RNA
Source: RNAcentral
GAUGAACGCUGGCGGCGUGCUUAACACAUGCAAGUCGAACGGAAAGGCCCUGAUUUUGUGGGGUGCUCGAGUGGCGAACGGGUGAGUAACACGUGAGUAACCUGCCCUUGACUUUGGGAUAACUCUAGGAAACUGGGGCUAAUACCGGAUAGGAGCUCCUGCUGCAUGGUGGGGGUUGGAGAGUUUCGGCGGUUGUGGCUGGAUUCGCGGCUUAUCAGCUUGUUGGUGGGGUAGUGGCGUACCAAGUUUAUGACGGGUAGGCGGCCUUAGAGGGGUACCGGCCACAUUGGUGCUGAGAGACGCCGCAGACUCGUACGGGCGGCAGCAGUGGGGAAUAUUGCACAACGGGCGGAAGCCAGAGGCAGCAAUGCCGCGUUCGGGAUACCGGCCUUCGGGUUGUAAACCUCUUUCGCCUGUGACGAAGCGUGAGUGACGGUAAUUGGUAAAGAAGCACCGGCUAACUACGUG